Molecule: long non-coding RNA, 772 nt
Organism: Lytechinus pictus (painted urchin)
Lineage: Eukaryota; Metazoa; Echinodermata; Echinoidea; Temnopleuroida; Toxopneustidae
Exons: 3
Source: RefSeq, a predicted model, not a curated record
AGGUUAUUUCCUUGAAAGAUUUUCGACAUAGAACAUGAUGCUGCUUCACAUCCUCUUUUAAAGACUCAAGAAUUACAAGACCAAAUUAAGCUGCAGGACCCUCCUGAUUCAAAAAGACAUGGAACAUGACUCUGCUUCACAUCCUUUGUUUUAGAGACUCAAGAAAUACAAGACCAAAUUAAGGGUUUGUUUUUUUAAUUCCAAUAACAAUUUUCUGGUGAAAGAAUUAGGGAAUAAUGCAUUGACAAUAUGCCAAACAUCCUAUAUCAAACUGAAUUACUGCAUGUAUUUACAAUAGAGUAUUGUAACCGCUUCCCCCUCACCACUGACCAAACAAAACCCACAAACAAUUUUAGAGGGAUAGGGUUAUUUUAGGGGUAAUUAUCCUUGCUGAUUGUAGCAGUAGUUUUUACAAAUAUGGAUGUACAGUUAAUGAUGAUGUUUAUGAUAAUAAUACUUAGAAUAAUAAAUUCAUUACGAUGACAUAACAGUAAUGAUGAAUAAAUAUGAUAAUUCAGCACUAUAAUAUGUACAUGAAAUUGUGUAACAAUUUUGGCAAUGAAGAAUUUUUAACAAAAAUAAUGAUCAAUGAAUUCGGGGGGGGGGGGCAUGUGACAUUGCAUCUGUGUUUGUGAGGACAGUAGUCUCUUUCACACCAUUUCAUCUUAAGCAGAUGGGAACGAGCUCUGAUCAAAAUUUGAUCUUUAAACUCAAGAGGAAAAUAAUUGUUACCUGAUUUAUGUAUUUGGAAUAAAAUGAAUUGAAAUAAUAA